RNAcentral lists this long non-coding RNA (204 nucleotides) under Zostera marina. RNAcentral's name for it is "long non-coding RNA (ZMAR_LNC005161)". The record is from RNAcentral. Lineage: Eukaryota; Viridiplantae; Streptophyta; Magnoliopsida; Alismatales; Zosteraceae.
GACAGAUCCUCCUUCUUAAGGCCCAUUUUGAUGAAGGUGUCCAUGUAGAGGAUGUCCGCGGAACUGCCGCUAUCGACAAUCAUCCUCUCGACACGGGAAGUUGGGCCGAUGUCUGCUUGGAUCACGAGUGGAUCCUCAUGUGGUAGCAGGACAUCGUCCAGGUCCUCUUCGGAGAAGUAAGUAGACUUCUCUUCCCGAGCCCUU